Long non-coding RNA from Vicia villosa (hairy vetch), 303 nucleotides. RefSeq lists it as uncharacterized. The record is from RefSeq and is a predicted model, not a curated record. NCBI's taxonomy places the organism in Eukaryota, Viridiplantae, Streptophyta, Magnoliopsida, Fabales, Fabaceae. The transcript is spliced from 3 exons.
CCUUGUGCAAAUGUGCAAAAAAGAAUAGUUGUACAUUUAGUGGAUGCGCAUUCUUGCUACAAGCAUGGGCAUGGUGGAGAAUGCCGGUAUUGGCCCCUGCAAAUCCAAACAGUUUCGCCUUCCCUUACGCUUCAAGGUUUAAUGCAAUCGGGUUGGAUUACACCAAUACGCCUUUAUCCAAAAUCAUUUUUUACCGCCAACUAUUAGAUCGACUUGGACCCCAAGAUUUUAUUUGGAGACCUUACUUGGAAUUGGAUCACGUACCCGACCUUGACGAGGCGGCUAUUUGGACAACAAAAUCAC